UAGGGAAUCUUCGGCAAUGGGGGGAACCCUGACCGAGCAACGCCGCGUGAGUGAAGAAGGUUUUCGGAUCGUAAAGCUCUGUUGUUAAGGAAGAACGAGUGUGAGAAUGGAAAGUUCAUACUGUGACGGUACUUAACCAGAAAGGGACGGCUAACUACGUGCCAGCAGCCGCGGUAAUACGUAGGUCCCGAGCGUUGUCCGGAUUUAUUGGGCGUAAAGCGAGCGCAGGCGGUUAGAUAAGUCUGAAGUUAAAGGCAGUGGCUCAACCAUUGUAGGCUUUGGAAACUGUUUAACUGGAGUGCAGAAGGGGAGAGUGGAAUUCCAUGUGUAGCGGUGAAAUGCGUAGAUAUAUGGAGGAACACCGGUGGCGAAAGCGGCUCUCUGGUCUGUAACUGACGCUGAGGCUCGAAAGCGUGGGGAGCGAACAGG
This 429-nucleotide ribosomal RNA is filed under the name Bacteroidota bacterium. RNAcentral's name for it is "Bacteroidetes bacterium partial 16S ribosomal RNA". It matches the Rfam family "Bacterial small subunit ribosomal RNA", at positions 355 to 776 of the family's 1533-position model. The record is from RNAcentral. Lineage: Bacteria; Pseudomonadati; Bacteroidota.